RNAcentral lists this ribosomal RNA (482 nucleotides) under uncultured bacterium. Its description in RNAcentral is "bacterial SSU rRNA". It matches the Rfam family "Bacterial small subunit ribosomal RNA", at positions 29 to 529 of the family's 1533-position model. The record is from RNAcentral.
AACGAACGCUGGCGGCAGGCUUAACACAUGCAAGUCGAACGAACGUAGCAAUACGUUAGUGGCAGACGGGUGAGUAACGCGUGGGAACGUGCCCUUUAGUUCGGAAUAACACAGAGAAAUUUGUGCUAAUACCGGAUAAGCCCGAGAGGGGAAAGAUUUAUCGCUGAAGGAGCGGCCCGCGUCUGAUUAGCUAGUUGGUGAGGUAAUGGCUCACCAAGGCGACGAUCAGUAGCUGGUCUGAGAGGAUGAUCAGCCACACUGGGACUGAGACACGGCCCAGACUCCUACGGGAGGCAGCAGUGGGGAAUUUUGGACAAUGGGCGAAAGCCUGAUCCAGCCAUUCCGCGUGCAGGAUGAAGGCCCUCGGGUUGUAAACUGCUUUUGUACAGAACGAAAAGACUCCGGCUAAUACCUGGAGUCCAUGACGGUACUGUAAGAAUAAGCACCGGCUAACUACGUGCCAGCAGCCGCGGUAAUUCUCG